RNAcentral lists this small nucleolar RNA (107 nucleotides) under Sorghum bicolor (sorghum). Its description in RNAcentral is "Plant small nucleolar RNA R71". It matches the Rfam family "Plant small nucleolar RNA R71". From Rfam's summary of the family: R71 is a member of the C/D box family of snoRNAs containing the C (UGAUGA) and D (CUGA) box motifs. Multiple nearly identical copies of this snoRNA have been identified in Arabidopsis, and it is thought to function as a 2'-O-ribose methylation guide for 18S ribosomal RNA. The record is from Rfam by way of RNAcentral. Lineage: Eukaryota; Viridiplantae; Streptophyta; Magnoliopsida; Poales; Poaceae.
AUUCCAUGAUGAGGACAUUCUGUAAUAUAAUCUUGAAAAUGUUCCCAUGCCUCGGUGAAUGAUUCAUCAUGUUGUUGAUGAAACCUUGAGAUUUUGCCACAUAGAGC